GGAAGAUCUAACGGGAUGCGGGAAAACCCUAUACAAAUCGUAAGGGUCAAGAAAAAACUGGGAAAAGCUGUCCAAAAGAGGGAAGAGCGUGUUCCACGACGUGCAGAAAGGAUUGUGGAAAGUUGACUGAUGAGCGCAAGCUGCAUCUGUUCAACAGUUUCUACACUGUCCCAUACGAGAAACAACAAGCACAACCAGCAAAACCAUUCAAGGUGAUGAGGAUGCAAUGUGAAGACUUCAGUCACCUCCCAGAUUCUGUUCUCAAGCGACCAGCUGGACUACAGAUCACUUCAGUGAGGUGGUUAAAAGUCACAUGUAUUGCACAGAGAAUAGUUUACUAACAUCCCAUCAACAUGCAACAUGUUGUUCUAACAAUAAAAUAUCCUAAUGAUU
Salmo salar (Atlantic salmon) is the source of this 393-nucleotide non-coding RNA. Lineage: Eukaryota; Metazoa; Chordata; Actinopteri; Salmoniformes; Salmonidae. The record is from RefSeq and is a predicted model, not a curated record.